UCAAGCGAGAGCAGGUCCAUGGCGGAUGCCUUGGAGCCGUCCGGCGAAGAAGGGCGCGGCAGGCCGCGAAAGGCCCGGGGGAGGAGCGAACGUCCAGCGAUCCCGGGAUUCCCGAAUGGGGCAACCCGCACGGCGCGAGCCGUGCAUCCGAACGCCUGAACGAAAUAGGGCGCGGAGGCCACACUGCGUGAAGUGAACCAUCUAAGUAACGCGGGAAAAGAAAUCAACAGAGAUUCCCCAAGUAGCGGCGAGCGAACGGGGAGGAGCCCAAACCGCAUUAGCGGGGUUGCAGGGCCGCGCGGGGACGACCCGCGGAGUUAAGAGAAAACAGGAGACUAGCCGAACGCGCCGGACAGCGCGGCCAGAGAGGGUGACGGCCCCGUAGGCGAAAGGAUCCUGACUCCGUGGCGCGGUUCCUAAGUAGGGCGGGGCACGUGGAACCCUGCCCGAAUCCGGGUCGACCACGAUCCAAGGCUGAAUACGGACGGCUACCGAUAGCGCAUAGUACCGUGAGGGAAAGGUGAAAAGAACCCCGGCGAGGGGAGUGAAAGAGAACCUGAAACCAUGGACCUUCAAGAUGCCGCGGGCGGCGACGCUUGCGGCGUGUCUUUUGUAGAAUAAACCUGCGAGUCGCGGUAUGGGGCGAGGCUAAGGGAUCGGAGUCCCGGAGCCGGAGCGAAAGCGAGUCCGAAACGGGCGGAUAAGUCCCAUGCCGCGGACCCGAAGCCAAGGUGAUCUUGCCACGGGCAGGCUGAAACGGGGGUGACACCCCGCGGAGGGCCGAACGGUAAUCUGUUAAAAAAGGUAGCGAUGACCCGCGGCAAGGAGUGAAAGGCUAAACAAACCUGGAGAUAGCUGGCUCUCCCCGAAAUGCCUUUAGGGACAGCCUCAUGGAAAGUUCGCGGAGGUAGAGCGCUGGAUGGACGAGGGGGCGUCAAAACCUACCGAAGCCAAUCAAACUCCGAAUGCCGCGAACCAGCCCAUGGGAGUGAGACCGCGAGCUCUAAGGUCCGCGGUCGAGAGGGAAACAGCCCGGACCGGCGGUUAAGGCCCCAAAGCCGCGCUAAGUGUGAAAUGAAGUGGGGAUGCAAGGACAGCCAGGAGGUUGGCUCAGAAGCAGCCAUUCCUUGAAAGAGUGCGUAACAGCUCACUGGUCGAGCACCCCCGCGCAGACAAUGUAACGGGGCUAAGCGCGGCGCCGAAACCCCGGAUUCAUUCCUUUCGGAAUGACUGGUAGGGGAGCGUUGGACCAACCCAUGAAGGAGGACCCGCGAGGGCUUCUGGAGGAAGUCCAAGAGAGAAUGCAGGCAUAAGUAACGAAAAGACGGGUGAAAUCCCCGUCCGCCGAAAGCCUAAGGUUUCCAGGGCAAGGGCAAUCCGCCCUGGGUAAGUCGGCCCCUAAGCUCAGGCUGAAAAGCGUAGGCGACGGGAAUCCGGUCCACAUUCCGGAACCCGUCCAGUUUCUAUCGGAGCGACGCGUGAGGAGAUUUCCGGCGGGAGAACGGUAGUUCCCGUCCAAGCGUCCGACCCGACGAGGCGGGGGUCAAAAGACCCGCCGAGGGAAGGCGUGACGGCGAGGCCCCCUUUGGGGGGAGGAAGCGGAAGGAUUCAAGGCGCCGGGAAAGAGCUCCUAGGCUAGGCUGGACGGACCGUACCGCAAACCGACACAGGUAGGCGGGAUGAGCAAUCUAAGGCGCACGAGAGAACCCGCGCUAAGGAACUCGGCAAAAUGCGCACGUAACUUCGGGAGAAGUGCGGCCCGCGUUUGAAAGAAUUGCGGGCCUCAGAAAGCGGGCCCAGGCGACUGUUUAUCAAAAACACAGCCAUCUGCGAACCAGCGAUGGGACGUAUAGGUGGUGACACCUGCCCGGUGCCGGAAGGUUAAGGGGAGCGGUCAGCCGCAAGGCGAAGCUGCGAACCGAAGCCCCGGUAAACGGCGGCCGUAACUAUAACGGUCCUAAGGUAGCGAAAUUCCUUGUCGGGUAAGUUCCGACCCGCACGA
This 2002-nucleotide ribosomal RNA is filed under the name gut metagenome. RNAcentral describes it as "bacterial LSU rRNA". It matches the Rfam family "Bacterial large subunit ribosomal RNA", at positions 1 to 1995 of the family's 2925-position model. The record is from RNAcentral.